RNAcentral lists this ribosomal RNA (432 nucleotides) under uncultured bacterium. RNAcentral describes it as "bacterial SSU rRNA". It matches the Rfam family "Bacterial small subunit ribosomal RNA", at positions 29 to 507 of the family's 1533-position model. The record is from RNAcentral.
AGCGAACGCUGGCGGCAGGCCUAACACAUGCAAGUCGAACGAACCCUUCGGGGUUAGUGGCGGACGGGUGAGUAACACGUGGGAACGUACCUUUAGGUUCGGAACAACACAGGGAAACUUGUGCUAAUGCCGAAUGUGCCCUUCGGGGAAAGAUUUAUCGCCUUUAGAGCGGCCCGCGUCUGAUUAGCUUGUUGGUGAGGUAAAGGCUCACCAAGGCUUCGAUCAGUAGCUGGUCUGAGAGGAUGAUCAGCCACACUGGGACUGAGACACGGCCCAGACUCCUACGGGAGGCAGCAGUGGGGAAUCUUGCGCAAUGGGCGAAAGCCUGACGCAGCCAUGCCGCGUGAAUGAUGAAGGUCUUAGGAUUGUAAAAUUCUUUCACCGGGGAAGAUAAUGACGGUACCCGGAGAAGAAGCCCCGGCUAACUUCGUG